UGAGGUGGGGGACAACAGUUGGAAACCACUGCUAAUACCGCAUAACGUCUACGGACCAAAGGGGGCUUCGGCUCUCGCCUUUAGAUUGGCCCAAGUGGGAUUAGCUAGUUGGUGAGGUAAUGGCUCACCCAGGCCACGAUCCCUAGCUGGUUUGAGAGGAAGAUCAACCACACUGGCACUGACACACGGCCCACACUCCUACGGGAGGCAGCAGUGGGGAAUAUUGCACAAUGGGCGCAAGCCUGAUGCAGCCAUGCCGCGUGUGUGAAGAAGGCCUUCGGGUUGUAAAGCACUUUCAGUCAGGAGGAAAGGUUAGUAGUUAAUACCUGCUAGGUGUGACGUUACUGACAGAAGAAGCACCGGCUAACUCCGUGCCAGCAGCCGCGGUAAUACGGAGGGUGCGAGCGUUAAUCGGAAUUACUGGGCGUAAAGCGUACGCAGGCGGUUUGUUAAGCGAGAUGUGAAAGCCCCGGGCUCAACCUGGGAACUGCAUUUCAAACUGGCAAACUAGAGUGUGAUAGAGGGUGGUAGAAUUUCAGGUGUAGCGGUGAAAUGCGUAGAGAUCUGA
Molecule: ribosomal RNA, 568 nt
Filed under: Pseudoalteromonas sp. J2001s
Lineage: Bacteria; Pseudomonadati; Pseudomonadota; Gammaproteobacteria; Alteromonadales; Pseudoalteromonadaceae
Description: bacterial SSU rRNA
Rfam family: Bacterial small subunit ribosomal RNA
Source: RNAcentral